AAUAGGUACAGUCAUAGAUAUGCGUCCUCAGCGUUUUGACCAUCCGUUUUAUUUAAAAAAUUUAUAAAAAAUAUUAAAAAAAAUAGUCUCACAUAAAGUACUAUUCAGGUUUUAUCAUCUAAUAAUAAUAAAAAUACUAAUCAUAAUCAUUUUUCAAAUAAGACGAACGGUCAAACGUUGGAUAUAAAUAGUGCUAAAAUUACA
This 204-nucleotide microRNA precursor is filed under the name Oryza glumipatula. Its description in RNAcentral is "MIR812 microRNA precursor family". It matches the Rfam family "MIR812 microRNA precursor family". The record is from Rfam by way of RNAcentral. Lineage: Eukaryota; Viridiplantae; Streptophyta; Magnoliopsida; Poales; Poaceae.